GAUGAACGCUGGCGGCGUGCUUAACACAUGCGAGUCGAACGAUGAAGCCCAGCUUGCUGGGUGGAUUAGUGGCGAACGGGUGAGUAACACGUGAGUAACCUGCCCUUGACUCUGGGAUAAGCGCUGGAAACGGCGUCUAAUACCGGAUACGAGCUUCCACCGCAUGGUGAGUUGCUGGAAAGAAUUUCGGUCAAGGAUGGACUCGCGGCCUAUCAGGUAGUUGGUGAGGUAACGGCUCACCAAGCCGACGACGGGUAGCCGGCCUGAGAGGGUGACCGGCCACACUGGGACUGAGACACGGCCCAGACUCCUACGGGAGGCAGCAGUGGGGAAUAUUGCACAAUGGGCGCAAGCCUGAUGCAGCAACGCCGCGUGAGGGACGAAGGCCUUCGGGUCGUAAACCUCUUUUAGCAGGGAAGAAGCGAAAGUGACGGUACCUGCAGAAAAAGCACCGGCUAACUACGUG
Molecule: ribosomal RNA, 466 nt
Filed under: uncultured bacterium
Lineage: Bacteria
Description: partial 16S ribosomal RNA
Rfam family: Bacterial small subunit ribosomal RNA
Source: RNAcentral